RNAcentral lists this ribosomal RNA (464 nucleotides) under uncultured bacterium. Its description in RNAcentral is "partial 16S ribosomal RNA". It matches the Rfam family "Bacterial small subunit ribosomal RNA", at positions 338 to 795 of the family's 1533-position model. The record is from RNAcentral.
CCUACGGGAGGCAGCAGUAGGGAAUUUUCGGCAAUGGGGGGAACCCUGACCGAGCAACGCCGCGUGAGGGAGGAAGUAUUUCGGUAUGUAAACCUCUGUUAUAACGGAAGAACGGUGCAUGUAGGGAAUGACAUGCAAGUGACGGUACUGUAUGAGGAAGCCACGGCUAACUACGUGCGCGCAGCCGCGGUAAUCCGUAGGUGGCGAGCGUUAGCCGGAUUUAUUGGGCGAAAAGAGGGAGCGGGCGGCCGCUAAGGGCUGCGGUGAAAGCCCGAGGCUAAACUUCGGUGAGCCGUGGUAACCGGGCAGCUAGAGUGCAGUAGAGGAUCGUGGAAUUCCAGGUGUAGCGGUGAAAUGCGUAGAGAUAUGGAGGAACACCAGUGGCGAAGGCGACGAUCUGGGCUGCAACUGACGCUCAGUCCCGAAAGCGUGGGGAGCAAAUAGGAUUAGAUACCCGAGUAGUC